UACACUCCUACGGGAGGCAGCAGUGGGGAAUAUUGGACAAUGGGCGCAAGCCUGAUCCAGCCAUGCCGCGUGAGUGAUGAAGGCCCUAGGGUUGUAAAGCUCUUUCACCGGUGAAGAUAAUGACGGUAACCGGAGAAGAAGCCCCGGCUAACUUCGUGCCAGCAGCCGCGGUAAUACGAAGGGGGCUAGCGUUGUUCGGAUUUACUGGGCGUAAAGCGCACGUAGGCGGACUAUUAAGUCAGGGGUGAAAUCCCGGGGCUCAACCCCGGAACUGCCUUUGAUACUGGUAGUGUUGAGUUCGAGAGAGGUGAGUGGAAUUCCGAGUGUAGAGGUGAAAUUCGUAGAUAUUCGGAGGAACACCAGUGGCGAAGGCGGCGCACUGGCUCGAUACUGACGCUGAGGUGCGAAAGCGUGGGGAGCAAACAGGAUUAGAAACCCCGGUAGUCCCAUGA
Molecule: ribosomal RNA, 452 nt
Filed under: uncultured organism
Description: partial 16S ribosomal RNA
Rfam family: Bacterial small subunit ribosomal RNA
Source: RNAcentral